CCGCGGUAACACCGGCAGCUCUAGUGGUAGCUGUUUUAUUGGGCCUAAAGCGUUCGUAGCCGGUUUAAUAAGUCUCUGGUGAAAUCCUAUAGCUUAACUGUGGGAAUUGCUGGAGAUACUAUUAGACUUGAGAUCGGGAGAGGUCAGAGGUACUCCUGGGGUAGGGGUGAAAUCCUGUAAUCCUAGGAGGACCACCUGUGGCGAAGGCGUCUGACUAGAACGAAUCUGACGGUGAGGAACGAAAGCUAGGGGCGCGAACCGGAUUAGAUACCCGGGUAGUCCUAGCCGUAAACUAUGCGGACUUGGUGUGAGGGUGGCUUUGAGCCGUCCUGGUGCCGAAGGGAAGCUGUUAAGUCCGCCGCCUGGGAAGUACGGUCGCAAGACUGAAGCUUAAAGGAAUUGGCGGGGGAGCACCACAACGCGUGGAGCCUGCGGUUUAAUUGGAUUCAACGCCGGAGAUCUCACCAGCGGCGACAGCAGUAUGAUGACCAGGUUGAUGACUUUGUUUGACAAGCUGAGAAGUGGUGCAUGG
This 532-nucleotide ribosomal RNA is filed under the name uncultured archaeon. RNAcentral describes it as "bacterial SSU rRNA". It matches the Rfam family "Archaeal small subunit ribosomal RNA", at positions 465 to 997 of the family's 1478-position model. The record is from RNAcentral.